CCUACGGGAGGCAGCAGUCGAGAAUCAUUCACAAUGGGGGAAACCCUGAUGGUGCGACGCCGCGUGGAGGAAUGCAGCUCUUCGGAUUGUAAACCCCUGUUAUGUGGGAGCAAAUUAAAAAGAUAGUACCACAAGAGGAAGAGACGGCUAACUCUGUGCCAGCAGCCGCGGUAAUACAGAGGUCUCAAGCGUUGUUCGGAGUCACUGGGCGUAAAGCGUGCGUAGGCUGUUUAGUAAGUCGGGUGUGAAAGGCGCGGGCUCAACCCGCGGAGGGCACAUGAUACUGGGAGACUAGAGUAAUGGAGGGGUAGCCGGAAUUCGCGGUGUAGCAGUGAAAUGCGUAGAUAUCGAGAGGAACCCUGGUGGCGAAGGCAGGUUCCUGGACAUUAACUGACGCUGAGGCUCGAAAGUGUGGGGAGCAAACAGUAUUAGAUACCCUUGUAGUC
RNAcentral lists this ribosomal RNA (446 nucleotides) under uncultured bacterium. RNAcentral's name for it is "partial 16S ribosomal RNA". It matches the Rfam family "Bacterial small subunit ribosomal RNA", at positions 338 to 795 of the family's 1533-position model. The record is from RNAcentral.